This is a non-coding RNA of Pan troglodytes (chimpanzee), 284 nucleotides long. NCBI's taxonomy places the organism in Eukaryota, Metazoa, Chordata, Mammalia, Primates, Hominidae. The record is from Rfam.
GCUGGGUGUGGUGACGCACGCCUGUAGUCCCAGCUACUUGGGAGGCUGAGGCAGAAUUGCUUGAACCUGGGAAGCAGAGGUUGCGGUGAGCCGAGAUCAUGCCAUUGCACUCCAGCCUUGGUGACAAGAGCGAAACUCCGUCUAAAAAAUAUAUAUAUAUAUAAUUACUAUUAUUAUUUUUUGAGAUGGAGUUUCGCUCUUGUCGCCCAGGCUGGAGUGCAAUGGCGCAAUCUCGGCUCACCGCAACCUCCGCCUCCCGGGUUCAAGCGAUUCUCCUGCCUCUG